Molecule: long non-coding RNA, 782 nt
Filed under: Rattus norvegicus (Norway rat)
Lineage: Eukaryota; Metazoa; Chordata; Mammalia; Rodentia; Muridae
Description: long non-coding RNA NONRATT027181
Source: RNAcentral
CCAGCUUGUGGGGUCUGCCAGAGUCCUUAGCUUCCUGGACAUCUGACCACUUCUCUCCAGUCCUCUGGCCAUCCAUUCUCGAGUAUCUAGAGCAGAUUUUUCCUGCAGUAUAAGGAAAUGCUACAUUUAUAUCCAUUAGAGUUCAACCUGCUGCAUUGAGCCACUCUGGUGAACCUGUUUUAAGUUGUUCUCCUCUAAAAGGCUGCUUUCAGCAAAGCUCACAUCCUCAGGCUAGGCCUUCAGCUGUUGGAUUUGGAGAAACAGUUCCUUCCUUAAACAGAGGUAUUAUGUCCACACAGCAGAGAAGGAAACUGAGGCUCAAAAGAAGAGACACCUAUAGAGCUACUAAGUGAGAUACCAGGUCCAGCCAAGACCCAUGUUCUUGUCCCUGAGAGGCUGGGCUGGGUCUUGUACUUCUGCCCUCCUCCCACCAUACUGUCCUUCACACGGGGAGGAAAACCUCCAGCUCCUAAGACAAAUGGAGGGGGCACAUUGACAUUCUGCUCUAAUGGCUUCUUCCUCAACACGACCAGAUUCCACGAGACUGCACAGCUCUACCCACACAGCACAGCAUGAUCUCUGAUGAUGCAGGCUACAAAGGCAUUUACCGGGAGCUGGAGCAGAGCAUCAAAGCAGCUGAUGCUGUGGAGGACCUGAGGUGGUUCCGAGCUAACCAUGGGCCAGGCAUGGCUAUGAACUGGCCACAGUUUGAGGAGUGGUCUGCAGAUCUGAAUCGAACUCUCAGCCGAAGAGAGAAGAAGAAGGCUGCUGAUGGUGUCACC